CCCUUCCUCUCCAUUUGCUUCUCUCUCUCUCUCUAAAAUAAUCUUCCAAUCAAUACGCGUUAUAUUAUUUAUUCUUUCUCAACCAAUUCAAAUGAGACUAAACUAGAAUUUUUUUUAAAAAAAUUAUAUUAUUGUUAUUAUUUUUUUCAAAUGAGAUUAUACAUAACAUUAGUUUGCUUUGAAUUAGAAAGUUUAAAUAUUAAUAAGGAAGUUUUUAGAUAAGAGCUAGCGCUAGAUACAACCGUCAAGAUCAUUAUUUUAUGUUUAAAAAAAUAAAUUUAAUUUAAAAUAUAAAUAAUUA
Molecule: long non-coding RNA, 301 nt
Filed under: Ananas comosus (pineapple)
Lineage: Eukaryota; Viridiplantae; Streptophyta; Magnoliopsida; Poales; Bromeliaceae
Description: long non-coding RNA (ACOM_LNC004404)
Source: RNAcentral